This 552-nucleotide ribosomal RNA is filed under the name uncultured fungus. RNAcentral describes it as "eukaryotic LSU rRNA". The stretch from base 187 to 340 matches the Rfam family "5.8S ribosomal RNA". Lineage: Eukaryota; Fungi. The record is from RNAcentral.
AAGUCGUAAACAAGGUCUCCGUUGGUGAACCAGCGGAGGGAUCAUUACUGAGUACUACACUCUCUACCCUUUGUGAACUAUUAUACCUGUUGCUUCGGCGGCGCCCGCAAGGGUGCCCGCCGGUCUCAUCAGAAUCUCUGUUUUCGAACCCGACGAUACUUCUGAGUGUUCUUAGCGAACUGUCAAAACUUUUAACAACGGAUCUCUUGGCUCCAGCAUCGAUGAAGAACGCAGCGAAACGCGAUAUGUAAUGUGAAUUGCAGAAUUCAGUGAAUCAUCGAAUCUUUGAACGCACAUGGCGCCUUCCAGUAUCCUGGGAGGCAUGCCUGUCCGAGCGUCGUUUCAACCCUCGAGCCCCUGUGGCCCGGCGUUGGGGAUCUGCCACGGCAGGCCCCUAAAACCAGUGGCGGACCCGAAGGGCCCUCUCCUUUGCGCAGUAGCAUUCGCCUCGCAUCGGGAGUCCUCGGCGUCCUGCCUCUAAACCCCCCACAAGCCCGCUUCGGCGGCACCAAGGUUGACCUCGGAUCAGGUAGGAAUACCCGCUGAACUUAA